RNAcentral lists this ribosomal RNA (406 nucleotides) under uncultured bacterium. RNAcentral describes it as "partial 16S ribosomal RNA". It matches the Rfam family "Bacterial small subunit ribosomal RNA", at positions 30 to 526 of the family's 1533-position model. The record is from RNAcentral.
AUUGAACGCUGGCGGCAGGCCUAACACAUGCAAGUCGAACGAGUGGCGUACGGGUGAGUAAUGUCUGGGAAACUGCCCGAUGGAUGGGGAUAACUACUGGAAACGGUAGCUAAUACCGCAUCCCAUCGGAUGUGCCCAGAUGGGAUUAGCUAGUAGGUGGGGUAACGGCUCACCUAGGCGACGAUCCCUAGCUGGUCUGAGAGGAUGACCAGCAACACUGGAACUGAGACACGGGCCAGACUCCUACGGGAGGCAGCAGUGGGGAAUAUUGCACAAUGGGCGUAAGCCUGAUGCAGCCAUGCCGCGUGUAUGAAGAAGGCCUUCGGGUUGUAAAGUACUUUAAGCGGGGAGGCGUUACCCGCAGAAGAAGCACCGGCUAACUCCGUGCCAGCAGCCGCGGUAAUAC